RNAcentral lists this ribosomal RNA (520 nucleotides) under uncultured Entrophospora. RNAcentral describes it as "SSU rRNA". It matches the Rfam family "Eukaryotic small subunit ribosomal RNA", at positions 569 to 1084 of the family's 1831-position model. Lineage: Eukaryota; Fungi; Glomeromycota; Glomeromycetes; Entrophosporales; Entrophosporaceae. The record is from RNAcentral.
AGCAGCCGCGGUAAUUCCAGCUCCAAUAGCGUAUAUUAAAGUUGCUGCAGUUAAAAAGCUCGUAGUUGAAUUUCGGGAUUGACACAUCGGUCGUGCCUUAAGGGGUAUGAACUGGUGUAGUCAAUUUCUCACCUCCUGGAGAACCGCGAUGCCCUUAAUUGGGUGUCGCGGGGAACCAGGACCUUUACUUUGAAAAAAUUAGAGUGUUUAAAGCAGGCAUUUUGCUCGAAUACAUUAGCAUGGAAUAAUAAAAUAGGACGGCAUGAUUCUAUUUUGUUGGUUUCUAGGAUCACCGUAAUGAUUAAUAGGGAUAGUUGGGGGCAUUAGUAUUCAAUUGUCAGAGGUGAAAUUCUUGGAUUUAUUGAAGACUAACUACUGCGAAAGCAUUUGCCAAGGAUGUUUUCAUUAAUCAAGAACGAAAGUUAGGGGAUCGAAGACGAUCAGAUACCGUCGUAGUCUUAACCAUAAACUAUGCCGACUAGGAAUCAGACGAUGUUAAUUUUUUAAUGACUCGUUUGGC